GAGUGAACGCUGGCGGUAGGCCUAACACAUGCAAGUCGAACGGCAGCACAGUAAGAGCUUGCUCUUACGGGUGGCGAGUGGCGGACGGGUGAGGAAUACAUCGGAAUCUACUUUUUCGUGGGGGAUAACGUAGGGAAACUUACGCUAAUACCGCAUACGACCUACGGGUGAAAGCAGGGGAUCUUCGGACCUUGCGCGAUUGAAUGAGCCGAUGUCGGAUUAGCUAGUUGGCGGGGUAAAGGCCCACCAAGGCGACGAUCCGUAGCUGGUCUGAGAGGAUGGUCAGCCACACUGGAACUGAGACACGGUCCAGACUCCUACGGGAGGCAGCAGUGGGGAAUAUUGGACAAUGGGCGCAAGCCUGAUCCAGCCAUACCGCGUGGGUGAAGAAGGCCUUCGGGUUGUAAAGCCCUUUUGUUGGGAAAGAAAAGCAGCAGGUUAAUACCCCGCUGUUCUGACGGUACCCAAAGAAUAAGCACCGGCUAACUUCGUG
RNAcentral lists this ribosomal RNA (493 nucleotides) under uncultured bacterium. RNAcentral describes it as "partial 16S ribosomal RNA". It matches the Rfam family "Bacterial small subunit ribosomal RNA", at positions 27 to 507 of the family's 1533-position model. The record is from RNAcentral.